Molecule: ribosomal RNA, 497 nt
Filed under: uncultured bacterium
Lineage: Bacteria
Description: partial 16S ribosomal RNA
Rfam family: Bacterial small subunit ribosomal RNA
Source: RNAcentral
GACGAACGCUGGCGGCGUGCCUAAUACAUGCAAGUUGAGCGAUGAAGCUUGGUGCUUGCACCAAUUUGAAGAGCAGCGAACGGGUGAGUAACGCGUGGGGAAUCUGCCUUUGAGCGGGGGACAACAUUUGGAAACGAAUGCUAAUACCGCAUAACAACUUUAAACAUAAGUUUUAAGUUUGAAAGAUGCAAUUGCAUCACUCAAAGAUGAUCCCGCGUUGUAUUAGCUAGUUGGGGAGGUAAAGGCUAACCAAGGCGAUGAUACAUAGCCGACCUGAGAGGGGGAUCGGCCACAAUGGGACCGGGACACGGCCCAAACUCCUACGGGAGGCAGCAGUAGGGAAUCUUCGGGAAUGGACGAAAGGCUGACCGAGCAACGCCGGGUGAGUGAAGAAGGUUUUCGGAUCGUAAAAAUCUGUUGGUAGGGAAGAACGUUGGUGGGAGUGGAAAGCGCAUCAAGUGACGGUAACUACUCAGAAAGGGACGGCUAACUACGUG